UGCCAGCCUCCGCGGUAAUACAGAGGGUGCUAGCGUUGUUCGGAAUUACUGGGCGUAAAGCGCGCGUAGGCGGCUAAGCAAGUUAGAGGUGAAAGCCCCGGGCUCAACCUGGGAAUUGCCUUUAAUACUGUUUGGCUUGAGUUCGGAAGAGGGAAGUGGAAUUUCCAGUGUAGAGGUGAAAUUCGUAGAUAUUGGAAAGAACACCAGUGGCGAAGGCGGCUUCCUGGUCCGAUACUGACGCUGAGGUGCGAAAGCGUGGGGAGCAAACAGGAUUAGAUA
Molecule: ribosomal RNA, 279 nt
Filed under: uncultured bacterium
Lineage: Bacteria
Description: partial 16S ribosomal RNA
Rfam family: Bacterial small subunit ribosomal RNA
Source: RNAcentral